GAUGAACGCUGGCGGCGUGCCUAAUACAUGCAAGUCGAGCGAACGGACGAGAAGCUUGCUUCUCUGAUGUUAGCGGCGGACGGGUGAGUAACACGUGGAUAACCUACCUAUAAGACUGGGAUAACUUCGGGAAACCGUAGCUAAUACCGGAUAAUAUUUUGAACCGCAUGGUUCAAAAGUGAAAGACGGUCUUGCUGUCACUUAUAGAUGGAUCCGCGCUGCAUUAGCUAGUUGGUACGGUAACGGCUUAUCAAGGCAACGAUGCAUAGCCGACCUGAUAGGGUGGUCGGCGACACUGGAACGGAGACACGGUCCAGACUCCUACGAGAGGCAGCAGUAGGCAAUCUGCCGCAACAGGCGAAAGCCUGACGGAGCAACGCCGCGUGAGUGAUGGAGGCCUUCGGAUCGUAAAACUCUGUUAUUAGGGAAGAACAGAUGUGUAAGUAACUGUGCACAUCUUGACGGUACCUAAUCAGAAAGCCACGGCUAACUACGUG
Molecule: ribosomal RNA, 497 nt
Filed under: uncultured bacterium
Lineage: Bacteria
Description: partial 16S ribosomal RNA
Rfam family: Bacterial small subunit ribosomal RNA
Source: RNAcentral